GAUGAACGCUGGCGGCGUGCCUAAUACAUGCAAGUCGAGCGAACAGACGAGGAUCUUGCUCCUCUGACGUUAGCGGCGGACGGGUGAGUAACACGUGGAUAACCUACCUAUAAGACUGGGAUAACUUCGGGAAACCGGAUCUAAUACCGGAUAAUAUAUUGAACCGCAUGGUUCAAUAGUGAAAGACGGUUUUGCUGUCACUUAUCGAUGGAUCCGCGCCGCAUUAGCUAGUUGGUAAGGUAACGGCUUACCAAGGCAACGAUGCGUAGCCGACCUGAGAGGGGGAUAGGCCACACUGGAAAUGAGACACGGUCCAGACUCCUACGGGAGGCAGCAGUAGGGAAUCUUCCGCAAUGGGCGAAAGCCUGACGGAGCAACGCCGCGUGAGUGAUGAAGGUCUUCGGAUCGUAAAACUCUGUUAUUAGGGAAGAACAAAUGUGUAAGUAACUAUGCACGUCUUGACGGUACCUAAUCAGAAAGCCACGGCUAACUACGUG
This 497-nucleotide ribosomal RNA is filed under the name uncultured bacterium. RNAcentral's name for it is "partial 16S ribosomal RNA". It matches the Rfam family "Bacterial small subunit ribosomal RNA", at positions 28 to 507 of the family's 1533-position model. The record is from RNAcentral.